Molecule: ribosomal RNA, 480 nt
Filed under: uncultured bacterium
Lineage: Bacteria
Description: SSU rRNA
Rfam family: Bacterial small subunit ribosomal RNA
Source: RNAcentral
AGAACGAACGCUGGCGGCAUGCCUAACACAUGCAAGUCGAACGCUCUUGGGGCUUCGGUUCCAAGGGAGUGGCGCACGGGUGAGUAGCGCGUGGGAACCUGCCCUGGAGUGGGGGAUAACCGAGGGAAACUUCGGCUAAUACCGCAUGCGCCCGGUUUACCUCGAAAGGGGGAAACCGGGGAAAGAUUUAUCGCUCUAGGAGGGGCCCGCGUCGGAUUAGCUAGUUGGUGGGGUAACGGCCUACCAAGGCUUUGAUCCGUAGCUGGUCUGAGAGGAUGAUCAGCCACACUGGGACUGAGACACGGCCCAGACUCCUACGGGAGGCAGCAGUGGGGAAUAUUGGACAAUGGGCGCAAGCCUGAUCCAGCAAUGCCGCGUGAGUGAUGAAGGCCUUCGGGUUGUAAAGCUCUUUCGCACGCGAGGAUGAUGACGCUAGCGUGAGAAGAAGCCCGGCUAACUUCGCGCCAGCAGCCGCGGUAA